UUGCGAUUGAUCUCUGUAGAUGCCUGUUAAAUGUCACCGUACUGGAAAACAAGCUGUAAACUCCGAAUGUCGCAUGACUGCUCGCGGAAGAAAUGGCCGUUGUUAUCCCUAUCAUUGUGGUUCAAGUCCAACAAGCCCUAAACAAUCAAGAGGCCGAUAACCACUGGAACCUUGAUGAUGCUAACCCUACCAAGUGUUCCUUCAAACAAUUCCAGUCAUAUGUCCCUCCCACUUACGAGGGCACUGAGGGUGCUACAUCUAUUAUUCGUUGGUUCGAAGAAAUGGAUAGUAAUUCACGAAUUGUGACUGUCCUAACAAUCGUAAGGUAUGUUACACAAUUGGUCGUUCGUUAGGAAAUGUGUUAACAUGGUGGAAUGGAGAGAAGAACACGUGUGGUGCUGAAGAAGCCGCGUGUAGCCGUGUAUGACGCAACCGCUUGUAAAACCAAAGUUGGUCCUUUCUGGUCAUCGCGUGUAUGUUGACCUCGCCAUGCGGUUGGACAUUAUACCAACGUCAUUGACGACAAUCCAAACUACCAAUCAUGCCAGGUGGACUGAUAACCCUUCUUUGCUGCAGCCAUUUCAAACUUCUUAGUAGCAACUUCAUUCUCUUCUAAUCUCGUUUCAACGAAAAACCGAAUCCACCAUGAAGAGCUUCGCAAUUUGGCCUAACACAAAACCAACCAAUCUUCAACUCAUUAACGGUUCAUGGUACGUCGGGACUCAGGCGGGUUGGAUAAUGGGUCAAAAUGGGCAAAUCUGAGUAUGGAUCAUAAUGGGCAGGAUCUACCUACAAAGACUAGUUUUGUUCUUUUGACAUGUUGGAUCUCUUUAGGAAAAUAACACUAUUACAACAAUAAACUAACUUAUUUAAGAAAAA
Helianthus annuus (common sunflower) is the source of this 879-nucleotide long non-coding RNA. RefSeq lists it as uncharacterized. Lineage: Eukaryota; Viridiplantae; Streptophyta; Magnoliopsida; Asterales; Asteraceae. The record is from RefSeq and is a predicted model, not a curated record. The transcript is spliced from 2 exons.